CCCGGCGUAACUCAGACUGGUAGAGUGGCGGACUGUAGAUCCGCAAGUCGCUGGUUCAAAUCCGGCCGCCGGGA
Molecule: transfer RNA, 74 nt
Filed under: Thermoplasmatales archaeon
Lineage: Archaea; Methanobacteriati; Thermoplasmatota; Thermoplasmata; Thermoplasmatales
Also listed under: 1 other name
Description: tRNA-Tyr
Rfam family: tRNA
About the family: Transfer RNA (tRNA) molecules are approximately 80 nucleotides in length. Their secondary structure includes four short double-helical elements and three loops (D, anti-codon, and T loops).
Source: RNAcentral